GGAGAGGUGGCUGAGUGGUCGAAAGCGGUAGAUUGCUAUUCGAAAAUUGUCAUAACUUUAGUUAUCGAGGGUUCGAAUCCCUCUCUCUCCU
RNAcentral lists this transfer RNA (91 nucleotides) under Pyropia dentata. RNAcentral describes it as "tRNA-Ser". It matches the Rfam family "tRNA". Rfam says of the family: Transfer RNA (tRNA) molecules are approximately 80 nucleotides in length. Their secondary structure includes four short double-helical elements and three loops (D, anti-codon, and T loops). The record is from RNAcentral. Lineage: Eukaryota; Rhodophyta; Bangiophyceae; Bangiales; Bangiaceae.